AUGCUAUUGCUGCUGCCGAUGAUUGCUGUUGCCAUUGCUGCUGAUAUUGCUUCUCCUUAUAUUAGUACCUAUACCGUAGAUGAUAUUCAUUCCCAAAUAAAAAAUAUAGAAGAUCUGUAUGUUUUAAAAUUCUUGCAAAUUAAACGAACUACUUGUUAUCUCUUCUCUAAUCUUUCUCUUGAUCAGAUUCUCUUUUUUACUAUCCAUUGCAAAAUUUACUCAAUAAUAUGUACAAUGCGUACAAUAAUAAUCAUGAAACCAUCUAGCUCCUUAUUGAGUCCAUGGCCCCUUUUUCCAUGCAAUGGUUAG
RNAcentral lists this ribosomal RNA (309 nucleotides) under Triticum aestivum (bread wheat). Its description in RNAcentral is "partial small subunit ribosomal RNA". Lineage: Eukaryota; Viridiplantae; Streptophyta; Magnoliopsida; Poales; Poaceae. The record is from RNAcentral.